This 478-nucleotide ribosomal RNA is filed under the name Cladosporium sp. GWT2-10. Its description in RNAcentral is "eukaryotic LSU rRNA". The stretch from base 118 to 271 matches the Rfam family "5.8S ribosomal RNA". Lineage: Eukaryota; Fungi; Ascomycota; Dothideomycetes; Cladosporiales; Cladosporiaceae. The record is from RNAcentral.
UUUGUUGUCCGACUCUGUUGCCUCCGGGGCGACCCUGCCUUCGGGCGGGGGCUCCGGGUGGACACUUCAAACUCUUGCGUAACUUUGCAGUCUGAGUAAACUUAAUUAAUAAAUUAAAACUUUUAACAACGGAUCUCUUGGUUCUGGCAUCGAUGAAGAACGCAGCGAAAUGCGAUAAGUAAUGUGAAUUGCAGAAUUCAGUGAAUCAUCGAAUCUUUGAACGCACAUUGCGCCCCCUGGUAUUCCGGGGGGCAUGCCUGUUCGAGCGUCAUUUCACCACUCAAGCCUCGCUUGGUAUUGGGCAACGCGGUCCGCCGCGUGCCUCAAAUCGUCCGGCUGGGUCUUCUGUCCCCUAAGCGUUGUGGAAACUAUUCGCUAAAGGGUGUUCGGGAGGCUACGCCGUAAAACAACCCCAUUUCUAAGGUUGACCUCGGAUCAGGUAGGGAUACCCGCUGAACUUAAGCAUAUCAAUAAGCGG